Molecule: ribosomal RNA, 468 nt
Filed under: uncultured bacterium
Lineage: Bacteria
Description: partial 16S ribosomal RNA
Rfam family: Bacterial small subunit ribosomal RNA
Source: RNAcentral
GACGAACGCUGGCGGCGUGCUUAACACAUGCAAGUCGAACGGAAAGGCCCUGCUUUUGUGGGGUGCUCGAGUGGCGAACGGGUGAGUAACACGUGAGUAACCUGCCCUUGACUUUGGGAUAACUUCAGGCAACUGGGGCUAAUACCGGCUAGGAGCUCCUGCUGCAUGGUGGGGGCUGGAAAGUUUCGGCGGUUGGGGAUGGACUCGCGGCUUAUCAGCUUGUUGGUGGGGUAGUGGCUUACCAAGGCUUUGACGGGUAGCCGGCCUGAGAGGGUGACCGGCCACAUUGGGACUGAGAUACGGCCCAGACUCCUACGGGAGGCAGCAGUGGGGAAUAUUGCACAAUGGGCGGAAGCCUGAUGCAGCAACGCCGCGUGCGGGAUGACGGCCUUCGGGUUGUAAACCGCUUUCGCCUGUGACGAAGCGUGAGUGACGGUAAUGGGUAAAGAAGCACCGGCUAACUACGUG